RNAcentral lists this transfer RNA (51 nucleotides) under Ursus arctos (brown bear). RNAcentral describes it as "partial tRNA-Arg". Lineage: Eukaryota; Metazoa; Chordata; Mammalia; Carnivora; Ursidae. The record is from RNAcentral.
UGAUAAUUAGUUUAAAUCAAAACAAGUGAUUUCGACUCACUAGAUUAUGAA